Molecule: long non-coding RNA, 1039 nt
Organism: Xenopus laevis (African clawed frog)
Lineage: Eukaryota; Metazoa; Chordata; Amphibia; Anura; Pipidae
Exons: 3
Source: RefSeq, a predicted model, not a curated record
AGGAGGUUGGGGAAACCAUGGGCUGGAGGAGCAAUUUCAAUUUGCACUCCAAGCUUUCUUGGAACCAAUGUAAUCUGUUUGGAAGUACUUGGACCUGGGGAACAGUUUUAGUUUGCGCUCCAUACUUCCUGAUCAAAAGCGACGAAAAUAUUUGUUUGGAAGCCACAGUUGAAAGGAGACUGGGGGAAGCAGUUUUAAUUUGAGAGUUGUAGUUUUACAAGAGCUUGAUGUUUGCAGAAUUGGUUCAGUUUUCCAGCAAGAAGUUGCUCUGGAGACAGUAGGCAGCACUCCUGUGCCAGCCAGGAUCACCUGAAAAAUGGAAUACGACAAACUGGAUUUGCUAAAUAGAACCAGAAUACAUUCUGCUUCCAGGAACUGUUUAACCCCAAUCCCCAGCGGCUUCCAAAAUGAGACAAGUGAGACAUACGAGAUGCAAAUAUCCAUCGGAGAUGGACUCUACGUUUUUGGAUUUAUUGGUAUCCUAAUUUUGUUGAAGUCACUGCUGACCAUGAUCAAUAUGGUAGAAGACAAGCCUAAUGAUGUUUCCUACACCCUUCCAAAGCACAAGACAUUCACGAGCACCACGAUUCAUUAUCAGAACAAGUAUCCAGUGUUAGAUCAGAAGGAGAGUAUUCUGAUGACACCCCCCAACUCACCUCAUUUGUUUCAGGCACGGAACUCAUUUUUACCCUCGCUGACUUUCUUUAGUGGGAAUAGAUGCUUCCCUCCCUCUAAUCUUGCUGUAGGAGAUCAGGAAAAUGAAUUCCGGUGUACAUUCUCUAGCCCCCAGGGCAGCACUAAAUCUCUGGUUUGAUCAUGCCUAGAACGCUCUGAUUUCCACUAAAAAUGUUAUUUUAUUUGUGUUAUUGAGAUGUUGUCACACUUGAGUUGCCGCACUGUAUUCUUUCUAUUGGAACCACUACAUAUUGGUUACUGUUAAGGAAUCACCACUUUUAUGUUCUGUAUGUUCAUCUCACUAAACAGAUUCACACUGUAACAAUAAUUAACAUCAGUUGUUAAAAUAAACAAUGAGAAGAGA